CGGCCUACGGGGCGCAGCAGUGGGGAAUAUUGCACAAUGGGGGAAAGCCUGAUGCAGCGACGCCGCGUGAGUGAGGAAGUAUUUCGGUAUGUAAAGCUCUAUCAGCAGGGAAGAAAAUGACGGUACCUGACUAAGAAGCCCCGGCUAACUACGUGCCAGCAGCCGCGGUAAUACGUAGGGGGCAAGCGUUAUCCGGAGUUACUGGGUGUAAAGGGAGCGUAGACGGAGGAG
This 231-nucleotide ribosomal RNA is filed under the name uncultured bacterium. Its description in RNAcentral is "partial 16S ribosomal RNA". It matches the Rfam family "Bacterial small subunit ribosomal RNA", at positions 335 to 583 of the family's 1533-position model. The record is from RNAcentral.